GAUGAACGCUAGCGACAGGCCUAACACAUGCAAGUCGAGGGGCAGCGAAGUAGGUAGCAAUACCUCUGUCGGCGACCGGCGCACGGGUGAGUAACACGUAUGCAACUCCACCUGUAACAGGGGGAUAACCCCGGAGAAAUCCCGGACUAAUACCCCCAUAAUAUGGGCGCUCCGCAUGGAGGGCUCAUAUUAUGGGGGUAUUAGUUUUAUGUUAAAGAAAUUCGGUUACAGAUGAACAUGCGUUCCAUUAGCUGGUUGGUGAGGUAACGGCCCACCAAGGCGACGUAUCAGUAGCCGGCCUGAGAGGGUGAACGGCCACAUUGGGACUGAGACA
RNAcentral lists this ribosomal RNA (334 nucleotides) under uncultured bacterium. RNAcentral describes it as "bacterial SSU rRNA". It matches the Rfam family "Bacterial small subunit ribosomal RNA", at positions 28 to 326 of the family's 1533-position model. The record is from RNAcentral.